This 10832-nucleotide long non-coding RNA is filed under the name Homo sapiens (human). Its description in RNAcentral is "HSALNT0088325". The record is from RNAcentral. Lineage: Eukaryota; Metazoa; Chordata; Mammalia; Primates; Hominidae.
AUUUGAAUGAUGCAUCUACAAGCCAAGAAACACCAAGGAUUCCCAGCAGCCACCAGAAGGUAUGAGAGAGGCAUAGAAUAGAUUACGUCUCACAGCCUCCAGAAUGAACCAACUCUGCUGACACUUUGAUUUUGGACUUCUGGGUUCUACUACAAGAGAAUAAAUUGCUGUUGUCAAAGCCACCUAGUUCAUUGUACAGCAGUGCUACCAAAUUAAUACAAACUAUUAUACAUUGGUAUAAAAAAAAAGAAUCCUGUAGAACAAAGUUCUACAAUGAUAGGGUCCAUGUUUGUCCUGUUCACUGUAUCUCCUAUAACUCACAUAUAGAAAAUAUCCAAAACAUUUUUUUCCAGUAAGAGAAUGAAAAACUACUAAGUGAGUUUCUUAGAACUAGCGCAGUUCUAGGCUAUAUGGAAUGGUAUUUCUAGAAAGUUCUUUGUUAUAUGGCCCAUAUCACCAGGGUAAGAGACUAGAUAAACCUUUAGGGCUUAUGAUAGUUAGCAGUAGACAGACACACAUUACCAAUUGCACAAGAAUUAUAAGUUUGGGGGGAUGCUAUAACAAUCAAAAGGAUACUGAAUAAAGCCUGAGGCCAACAAGGAAGAGCUUCCUGAUACCUAGGAGGCAUGAACUUCAAGCUACCAAAAAAACAACAAGAGGUCACUAUAUUCCUUAGUAGUCACAAACUCAGAACAAAUGCCUUUACAGUUUAAUAUUCCUUUUUACAUAUCAUACUUUAUUACUGGGAAUGUGAGACUAGCUCAUUAAAACCAAAAUAUGUCAAAAUGAGGCUGAGGCAAACCAAGGGAUCCUUUUAAAAUACAUCUCCGACAGUGCUCAUUAAAGAUGGCCGACUGGACUUCUGUAUUUAUCUUUUCUUCCUCCCAAGUCUCCAUUCAAUCAGUAGGACAGGAAUAAAAAAAUGCAUUUGUCCAUAACAACAGAUAGAAGAAGAGAGAGACUAUUAAUGGAAAAGCAAUUUCAAUGUUUCUGGAAGGCAGAAAGAUAGAGGUGAUGUUGGCUACAGAGACUGUGUGGGAGGAAGCUGCAGCCUAGAAUCCAGGCUAUAUGUGCAGCCACCAAAGAAGCCCACGACUUUUCCCAGGGGACACUGGCAAGGCUUCAGACUCAAGGCCCCAUGGAAGGAGUAAAACAUGUGGGACUAGUGGAAGGUCUGAGAACAGAGUAGCUGGCUUCCCCACUCUAUUCAUCCCGACAGCCAGAAAAUAGGCAUUUAUCUCAGAGGGGAGACAUGAGGGCUCUUCCCUAAAGAUACUGAACAAAAACUGUCUGGGAGAACCACAGCAGCCCAUGUGAAUAUUGUCAUACUAAAGGAAAGUACACAGUCACCUGGAAUUUGGGGGCUAUAAGACAUAAUGACCAGCUUCUUGCCCAUUACCCCUAAAGCAAUAAUAAUUAUUAACAUAUAGCACUCCGGUUCACUGAAUCCCAGGUUAGACAUUAUAUGACCUGGUUCUGAAAUACAGAAUGACCAAUUAAAGCUUACCAGGACCUUUAGGAAAGAUUUCUAAAUGAAGGCAAAAGUAGACAAUAAACACAUUUUAAGAGUCACUCAGAAAGAAAUUAAGAUUAUUCAGGGAAUAGAAUGUCAACUUGGCAUCUUCAGAGAAAUUUGAGAAGAUAUGUAUUCACAAAGCAUGAACAGUAUGCUAUGAAGAAGAAACCAUAAGAGAACAUGAAGAGAUCAUAAAAAUUAAAAUAUGAUUCAAAAAUUCCAAGUCAUUAGCAGCUUUUUAAGAUAAGGUCAAAAACUUUUCCAAAUAGCUUAAAUUUUCCAAAUAGCCAGGAACAGUUCUAAGUACUUUAGUGACACAGCAAGCCUAUUAUAUAAAUAGUAUGAGGUUCUUCCUUUAUAGCUGAGGUACAGAGAAAUUAAGCAACUUUCCCAAGAACACUUAGCUAAGUAGCCAAAAUUAAAAGCCAGUCUAGCUCUAGAGUCCAUGAGCUUAACUGCUUUGCAAUACUAUUUCUAGUAGUAUUAUAAUAGCUAACUUGCAUUAAGUGAUUACUCUGUGAUAGGCACUGUUAUAAAUAAAGUAACUCAUUUAGUCCUCUGAACAAUGCAAUGAGUAGACAUCACCAUUAGUCCAUUCUAUAGAUAAGGAAAUGUAAGCAAGAAAGGGUAAGAAGCCACCAUGGGUCACAUAUAUGAUAAGUGGGGAGACAGGAUUUAGCCCAUGAAGUCUUGUUUCAGAAUCUAUUAUGUUACCUAAAAUGCAAGGUGGUAAAAAUAUGAAAGGAAAGAUAAGAUAUGGUAUGUAACCAUGCCAUUUAAUAUCUGUCUUAGGGUAGUUUCAGAAAGAGCAGAUAAAAUAGAGGUGAAGAAAUCAUCAAAUAAAUUUUAUAAGAAAAGGUCCCAAGUUAAAGGAAGACAAAAAUUUCAUAUUGAGAAAGCUUACUAGAAUACCAUGGAAGCUGUAAUAGUCCAUUUCCACACACUAUAAAGUUACUACCCGAGACUGGAUAAUUUAUAAACAAAAAAGGUUUAAUUUGCUCACAGUUCUGCACAGCUAGGGAGGCCUCAGGAAACUUACAAUCAUGGCAGAAGGGGAAGCAGGCAUCUUCCUCACAGGGAAACAAGGGAGAGAAGAGCAAAGGAAGAACUUUCAAAUACUUAUAAAACCAUCAGAUCUUGUGAGAACUCACUCACUGUCACAAGAAGAGCAUGGGGAAACCACUCCCAUGAUCCAGUCACUUUUGUCUCUCAAUAGCUGGGAGUUACAGAUCCCUCCCUCAACACAUAGGGAUUACAAUUGGAGAUGAAAUUCGGGUGCAGACACAGAGUCAAACCAUAUCCAAAGCUGAUUUUAAAAAGACACCUCAACUUACCAUUGUGAAAUUUUAAAGCAAUAAAAGAAAGAGAAUGUGUUAAAAUUUCUAUUGAUGGUAGAGGAAUGAUGAUGGAACAAGGUAGGAAAAAAACACAUAAAAUGAGACUUGACAGAAUAAAUAUCUCAUGUACUGUAGUGGGUGCUAGAAGACAGGGAAGCCAGACUUAAGAUUCUGAGAGGAGUGGUGUUCAAUCUAGAAUUCUGUUCUCAGCCAAAUUAUAAAAGUGAAUUUUGAAGGUAAAGAGGACACAAUUUAAAUGUGUAAGAAAUGAGAAACUUCAUCUCUUCUGGUGAGUAGCUACUUGAGGCUCUGUUCCAACCUGGCAAAACCUGACAGUAAAUUAAAAACAAAAAGACUUGGGAUCCAGGAAAUAAGGCUUCAACCUAAGAAAACAAUUAGAAAAAAAAAAAGCCCACAUGCAGCAGGUGCCAAGAUCAAUUAGUCUAGCUUGAAGCAAGGGCUAGAGAGCUCCAAAUGAGAAGAAGAAAGGAAGAGAGGGAGAGAAUAAAAAUUAAAAAUGGCAAUUUUGGGGAAACAAAAAGCUAUACAAAAGAAAGGAUAUAUAGUCAUAAUUGGUUUUCCUAUGGUGAAUGAUACAUUGGUGUAGUAAUGUAAAUGUUUUGCAUUACAUUUAACUGCUAUACAAAACACAAAUGAUGAUGCUUUCAAAGGAGAAUGUAGAAGUUAAAAAAUGAAGUACAUUUGAUAAAGUGUGAAGCCAAGCCAAGCCUUCAUUCUGCCAGUCUGCAUGGCUGCAGGGUUAAUACCACAUGGAAACCCCCAAGGCUUACAGCCUGUGUUCUCCAAAAUGGCAGCUUGAGCUGCACCUGAGUCCCUUUGACCUUGGUGGGAACAGGAGCUGCUAGCCAGAAUGUGGAAAGCAGAGUCCCAAGGCUGUGUAGGGCAGUGGGGCCCUGGGCCUGGCCCAUAAACAAUUCUUCCUUCCUAGACCUCUGGGACUGUAAUAUAAGGGGAUGCUAUGAAGGUCUCUGAAAUGCCCUUGAGGUCUUUUUCUCAUGGUCUUGGAUAUUCGUACUUGGCUCCCUUUUAGUUAUGCCAAUAUCACAAGUAAGGGGUUGCAUCACAGCCUCCUUGAAUUUAUGUCCUGAAAAAGCUUUUUCUUUCUUUGCCACAUGACUAGGCUGCAAAUUUUCCAAACUUUUAUGUUCUGCUUCAUGUUUACAUAUAAAUUCCAAAUUUAAAUCAUUUAUUUGCUCCUGCAUCUGAGCAUAGACUGUGAGAAGCAGCCAGGUUAUAUCUUUAACACUUUUCAGCUUAGAAAUUUCUUCCACCAGACACCAUAAAUCAUCACUCUAAAGUUCAAAUUUUCACAGACCCCCAGGGCAUGAAGACAAUGCAACAAAAUUCUUUGCUAAGGCGUGACAUGCAUGACUUUUGCUCCAGUUCCCAAUAAGUUCCUAAUUUCCAUCUGAGACUUCAUCAGCCUGGACUUCAUUGUUCAUAUCACCAUCAGCAUUUUGGUCACAACCAUUUAACCAGUUUCUAAGAAGUUUCAAACUUUCCCUCACCUUCCUGUCUUCUCCUAAGCCAUCCAAACUCUUCCAACUUCUAUCCAUUACCCAGUUCCAAAGUGAUGCCCAUAUUUUUAGGUAUUUUUAUAGCAAUAUCUCACUCCUUGAUAGCAACUUUCUGCAUUAGGGCAUUCUUUCAUUUCUAUAUAGAAAUACCUGAGGCUGGGUAAUUUAUAAGAAAAGAGGUUUAAUUGGCUCACUGUUCUGCAACCUGUAGAGUAAACAUAGCACUGACAUCUGCUUCUGGGGAGGUCUCAGAAAGUUUACAAUCAUGGUGGAAGGUGAAGGGGGAGCAGGAAUCUCAAAUGGCAAAACUGAGAGCAAGAGAGAGAGGAGAUACAGGUGCCAUACACUUAAGCAACCAGGUUUCAUGAGAACUCACUCACUAUCAUGAGGAGAGCACCAAGCCAUGAGAGGUCUGCCUCUAUGAACCAAACACCUCCUACCAGGCCUAAUAUGGUUUGGCUUUGUCCACACCCAAAUUUCAUCUUGAAUUGUAAUCCCCAUAAUCCCCACAUGUCAUGGGAGGGACCUGGUGGGAGGUAAUUGAAUCACAGAGGUGGUUUCCUCAUGCUAUUCUCAUGAUGAGUGAGUUCUCACAAGAUCUGAUGGUUUUAUAAGUAGCUGGCAUUUCCCCUGCUGGCACUCAUUCUCUCUCCUGCUGCCCUGAGAAGAGGUGCCUUCCAUCAUGAUUGUAAGUUUUCUGAGGCCUCCUCAGCCAUGUGGAACUGUGAGUCGAUUAAAACUCUUUUCUUUAUAAAUCACCCAGUCUCUGGUAUUUCCUUACAGCAAUGUGAGAAUGGACUAAUUCAAGGCCCUACCUCCAACUUUGAGGAGUACAUUUCAACAUGAGAUUUCAGCAGGGACAAAUAUCCAAACCAUAUCAGACAUGUUUUCUUUGUACCAAAGAUCAAAAACCUAUCAUCCAUGCCCAUAUGAGUUGAGUCCACCUGAAGCAGCGUCUUUUCCCAAUUGACACAAAUAUUCAAUAUGUAUUCAUAGGUGCCUUUAGGUGAAAGUAAUGUGAAGGGAAAAUAAAUCUCGUAGCCCCACAAUCACUAAGCUAAAGGGAAAAGUCAAGCUGGGAACUGCUUAAGGCAAACCUGCCUCCCAUUCUAUUCAAAGUCACCCCUCUGCUCACUGAGAUAAAUGUAUAUGUGACUGCCUCCUUUGGAAAGGCUAAUCAGAAACUCAAAAGAAUGCAACCAUAUGUCUCUUAUCUACCUAUGACCUGGAAGGCCCCCUCCCCACUUCAAAUUGUCCUUCUUUUGCUUCAAGUUGUCCUGCCUUUUCUGGACUGAACCAAUAUUCAUCUUACGUAUGUUGAUUGAUGUCUCAUGUAUCCCUAAAACGUAUAAAACCAAACUGCUCUGACCAUUUAGGGCACAUGUCGUCAGGACGUCCUGAGGCUGUGUCAUGGGUGCACAUCCUCAACCUUGACAAAAUAAACUUUGUAAAUUAACCAAGACCUGUCUAAGAUUUUUGAGGUUCACAGUAAUGAUAGGGGCACUUAACUUAAAAAUGUUAAGAGGUACUAUUUAUAGGUGAGAUAAUAAAAGGUUAAAGCAUGCGAUGUAAUGUUACAAUGGCAAUUAUUAUUAGGUUUGUGCAAAAGUAAUUGUGGUUUUUGUCAUUUAAAAGUAAUGGCAAAAACUGCAAUUACUUUCACACCAACCUAAUAUUAAAUAACAUCUGUAUAUGUAGGAGGUAAAGGAGAGAUCAUGGAUGGUAGUCAAAGUAAGCUAGCACCUCAUUGAUCACAUGAAGACCCAAUUAAUUAUGAUAUCCCCAUAUUUAGAAAUGUGACAGUAUCUAUAAAAAGAUCUAAAAACUGUUAAAAGUGGUUGCAAGUAGGGAGAGAAAAUAGGGCUAGCAAAAGACGUGGGGCCAAUUAUUUCUUUUUACCAAAAGCUCUUCUAUACAACUUGAUUUUUAAAAAAUGACUUUGGAUGUAUUAUUUUGAUAAAGUAGGUAUUUUAAAACAGUACAAAAAGUAUUUUAAAUCACUAUAUUUUCUCUGAGCAAUUUUUUUCUCUUUAUUGUUAUAUUUUAAGUCUAGAAAUCUGAAGAUUAGAGGAUAUAGACAUAGAGCAGGAUCAUUUAGUCAACAAAGAUUAUGUCAGAAAAAAAUAUGUGAAAGCGAAGAACGUUUAGUGGCAGAUUUGUGUAGGAAAGAAUAAUAGUAAGAGAAAAACACAACAAACAAUCUAGACAAAAAAAGGCAGGAAAUUCAAUUUUUUUUCAUGUGAUUAUUCAUGCAUUCAAAAGACAUUUAUUGUGUACUUACUCUAUGACAGGUGCUGUGAUGAUAAAAAAGUUGACCAAGAAAUGAUUCCAGACCUUUAGAAACCUGUAAUUUUAUAGGACUGGUAAGAAUAGACCCCAGUAUGGACAAGACAAGCCAUGAAGUAAAUAUCACAAAACAGGUACAAACAUAGUACUGGAAGAGUUCAAAGGAAGGGAAUAACUCUUGAUGUGACAAAUUAUUAAUACAGCUGUUACUAAAAGUCAGGGAGACAUUAUAGGACAAGAUAACCAUGUAAUGGCCAAACAUCUCUAUGAAAAAGAAUGUUUUCCUCAAUUUUUUAACCAGGGCUGGCUGCAGAAUAUUUGAAGGCAUCUUACAGGCAAAUAUAAAAAUGAUUAAUACUUUUGAAAAUAUAUGCCAAAAUAGUGAUAGAUGGUAAAAGUUCUCAUGCCAGGAAUAUCUGUUGGACUUUUAAACACUCUUCCCAAACCACAGUCAAUAUAAUAGAAACAAUCCUUCUCUAAAGCAUCAACUAUUAAUAAAUGUGCCUGAACCAAAAAGUAAAUCCAGCUUCUCACCAGCCUCAAUGAAAGCAUACUUCUGGGGCAUCUUCUCUUUUUAAGGCCAUGAAGCUUCCCCAUGACACUGAGAUAUGAUGUUAAGCAAAAUUCAAGGCACCUUUAAUGGGGUCAAUAGAAGAGUCUUCUAAUACAGUAAUAAUAAAUAUGGCAUCUACUCUAACAACAAGACCAAUGGCUAGAAUUGUGAUGUUGCCUUUCUUUUAACUUCCCAAGUAAAAGCUUCCAUUGGUCAUUUAAUAAGGGUACUUUUAUAUCCCAUUCAUUUUUCCUUCUAUGUGGAUGGAAAUUCCUUAGUUCUUCCCUUCCACCCUCUCACUCACUCUUCCAGGGAUAUUGGUGAGCAGGGAAAGAGAAACUGGACAUAAAUGUCUCAGGCCCUUUCCUUCUUUUUCCUCUUUAAGAUCCAGUUGCUCACAGAAAAUCACACAUUUUACUUAGAAUUUCUAAGCCCAAUGUUUACAGGGGCAAGUUCUUACAAGGAAGGUUGGUGGAUAUCCAGUUGUGUUUGUGACUGGGUGUGUAAAUCUUUCAAUUUGUGGGUAGAGUAUUAGGAAGCCCACUUAACUAACAGGACCCAAAACACAUUUCUAAUUAACCAAUGUCAGUAAGAAAUGAUGGACUUUACUCUCUGUCUUCCUUAUUCUUCUGAUCUUCAUAAUCAAUUCAUAAUUUGGAUGAGGAAAGGGAUUGGUAUUUCUUGACUCCCCUCAAAACCCAACAAUUUCUUACCAAAUAUACACAGGAUGAAGCAAUAAGCCUGGAACCAUCAGAAUAUUAUGUUGCACUAAUGAUACAAUCAGAGCUACAAGCCUAGUUAAUUAUACAUUAAGAGGUCACUCCAUUUUUCCUAUUCUUCCCCUGCCUUUAAUGACACAGACACACAAUCUGCUUUUUAUUAUUCCUGCAUACAUAUAUACAUAAUAUACACAUAUAUGUGUACGUACGUUUACAUGUAAACUAUGUAUAUAUUACAUACGAUGAAACACUUCAAAUAAAUAACAAAAGAAGAGAAAAUGGUAUAGUGAACCCUAUAUACUUGUCACUCAGCUUCCACAAUUAAAAUAACUUUAACAAAUGACCAAUCUUGUUUAAACCACCUUUUCCCUCCAACUUUUCCCAUUCAUACCACUCACUCCCUAUCUCUUCUCUCUGUGACCUCCAGAUUCAUUGACAGAAAAUAGAAAAGUCGGAAAGAUGAGAAGGAUGAGUCUGGUGGUUUGGAUACAAGUAGGCACUAGCUGAACCAGACACAAUCCCUGCCCUCAGGCAGCUUACGCCAUACAGUGAAAGAGUGUGGAGAGAUUUGAAAGAAAUUAUAUGGCACCCAGGGUGUACUUUUAUCACCAACAAUAUUUUGUCCUGCAUAAUCCAAGUUUCUAGGUAGAUUUUUGAGAUUUUCCUAGCAGUUGGAAUUGUCUUGAAGUUGGUAGAAAACUGUUAUAGCCAGCAUUUACAGACCUGUGGGAAAUAUGGUAUUACUAACACUGUUUUAUAUAGAUGAGAAAACAGGCUGACAAGGUAAAAUGAUAGGUUCGAAAUUACAUAGUUAAGAAAGAUCAGGCUAGCACUUAAAUCCAGGUCUGUUUGACUUCAAAAGUCAUGUUCUUAACCAUUCAACUUAUUUUCUCCCAUUGUACAAAAAUAAGUUUGUUUGAUUUCCUUAGUGGAUGGCCUGAACUUGAAAUACAAGUAAAAGCAAUGUGGAUUACAAUAGGCAGUUAGGAGGAGACACAUGCUGGCCCCUCCUAAUGGAAUCCUGGAGUAAGUGUGGAUGAGAGAGAAAUCCAAUGGUGGUAGUAAAGAGAGAAAUACUGAGUUUCCGUUUAUUUUGAGAAGUGAAAGAAAUGUAAAGAAACAAAUCAGGAUAAUAGCACAGUAUCACCAACUUUUUUCAAGAGUUUUUUUUACAUUAUGUAAAUUUAAUGAUGAGUUUUUAUAUUAAAUAUUUAAAUGAUGUGUUCUAGCCACAUUUUUGUUAUAAUGACAACCUCAAUCCCUUCUCCAAUGAAUCUAGCAAGGAUUAGGCCCAGCCUAAUGCAUUGGUGAAAUAGUUAAUAGUCUAUACAUUUUAACCAGGGAAAGACACAUCCUUUUCCCUGGUCCCAACCCUUUCCUUCUUCCUUUCCUUAUUAACUCUCUACCAAGUUGUCAAAGAUGUCCAAAUUCCACAACUGGUUGUUUAAAUCCUUUUCAAAUGCAGACUGUCUUUCCUGGUGGCAAACAAACACAUUUGAUACAGAGGGAGUUAGCAUUUAGGCCCAGGAGUUAGAGAUGGAAAAGAGAUGGGAAUAUAAAGUUAGAGAGGAAGGAAAAAGAUAUUGAUGCUGAAAGGGAAGAUAAGAAAUAGAAAAUAUAAAACUGCUUGCUUCUUUUCAUAAUUUUGCAUAAGAUAUUUGGAUAUGUCUGUAAAAUAAUACACUUUCAAUCUUUUUGAGACCCUCAAAGCCACCAAGCGUAAUUAUUUAGGAAGGAAAUCAGAAAUGUUAAUCAGAAUAAAGUUAGUUGGGAGAAGCAGUAUCACCAACACUCGGUAUGGAGUCCUUUUAGUUGUAUCCAUUCUAGUGAGCAUGUAGGGUAACUUGUUUUAAUUUGUAUUUCCCUAGAAUCUAAUAAUGUUGUGAAAUUUUUCAUGUGCUUAUUUGUCAUCCACAUAUCUUCUCUGGUGAAGUGUUUCUUCACAUCUUUUGGCAUUGUUUUAAUUGUAAUUUUUGUCUUCUUAUUCAGUUGUAAGAGUUUAUUUUAUGUUCUGGGCACCACCCUUUAUCAGAUGAGUAUAUUUUAUUUAUUUUCUCCAACUCAGUAGCUUGCCUUCAAAAAUUCAGCUUUCCUCACUGUAUCAAAAAUUACAAGUUGAGUUCCACAGAACCUCCAAGUUCUGCAGCGCUGCUCUGAGUUGCUGAGGUGGAUAAGAGGCAGAGCAUUUCUGCUACCUUCCAUCUUUCCUCUCUCUCCGUCUCUCUCUCUCUGUAUGUUGAUCAAUCUAUCCAUUUACGUAUUUAGUUUCAUUUUAUUUAUUUUUGAGGCAAGGUCUCACUCUGUGACCCUGGCUGGAGUUCCGUGGUGCAACCAUGGCUUACUGCAACCUCUAACUCUUGGGCUCAUGCAAUCCUGCUACCUCAUCUUCCUGAGUAGCUGGGACUACAAGUGUGCACCCACAUACCUUGCUAUUUUUUUUUUCUUAUUUUUUGUAGAGACAAGGUCUUACUGUGUUACCAGGGCUUACAUAUUUUUAAUAUUGGGGUACUGCAUAAGAUUUUGUUUGGGCAAAAUAUUUGAAAUUACCAUGACCACAUAGCAGGUUGUGGUAAUUGUUUACUAUGUAACAAUAAUCUGACUUUCCAAACUCGUAUUAAAGCCCUGAUGUGAACCUAAUGGAAACUUACCCUAAUGGGGAUAUUUGAGGACAUUAGUAGACUUCGGCAUUCUUAAGUUUGAUGGUGUCCACAUAUUAUAUGACACAUAUUAAAAUUAUCCAUUUGCCACAUUAAAUAUAUUUUAAUUUUGUAUAAACGACUUAUUUAUGUUAGUAUGGACUCAUGGAUAUUUAUUUUAUACUUUAGAUUAUAAUCUAAUACUAUUUUAUUUUGUUGUUCAACUUGUUUGUUUUUGCUGCUGGGA